UUGGGUGUAGCAAAACCAGCAACAAACAGAUCUUGAGACUUCUGGACUCGAUUGAAGGCCCUUGAUGAAAUCAGCCUGGUUGCUGUCUUCUUCGUCAGCCUUUCGUUCCAGAUGAAGAACGCCUCUGAAAUUACCUCUAAAAAUUCCAAGAUCUGGUACCCAACCAGAUCAGACCUAGAUCGAGGUCUUUCAAUUUGUAAAUCUUAAAUCGGGAUAUUCUAGAUAGGAAAGAAGGUAGAUGGAGACAGACCUUGCAGAUCUGUUCUGCUGCAGCCUUUCCUAUAGAUCUGUUGAUGAAGAUCUCACCUGCGCCUCAAACGACCUCAGAUCACUCCAGAUCUGAGAGGAACUUGUAUCAACCUCUUCGCAAGAGAUUCCAGGUCCUGGACCUGAUGCUUGGAUGGCUGCAAGAGAGGGAGAGAGGAAUCUGGUUGGCAGCACAAAGGAGAAGGGGGCUAGCGCCUCCCCUUCUUUUCUUUCCUUUUAUGGACUGGCGGCAAGAAACCCUAGGGUUUCUUGCUCCUGAGGCAUGGAGAAUUUCUGGAGAGAGAGAGAGAAGAGAGCGAGAGACUUGGGAGAAAGAGUUUUGUAUUCUCUUGGCUUAAUCAAACCUAUACAAGUACAUGUAUAUAUAAACAUAGGGUCAAGUGACCCAAACCCAAAACUCCCUUGACCAACUCUAUGGGAGAUUAGGUUAACCCAAGCCCAUGUACACCCAUGACUCGACCUAAUC
This 733-nucleotide long non-coding RNA is filed under the name Elaeis guineensis (African oil palm). Its description in RNAcentral is "long non-coding RNA (EGUI_LNC040834)". The record is from RNAcentral. Lineage: Eukaryota; Viridiplantae; Streptophyta; Magnoliopsida; Arecales; Arecaceae.